GUGAAGGCGCUUCUUCCGCUCGGAGGAAAGCCUCUGGCGGUUCUCGCUUCGCGGGCUCGGGAUGGACACGCGCGUAGGGCUGGGGAGGUGACGCGCGGACAACGCCGGGGCGAGCAAACUACAACUCCCAGGCAGCUGUGCGCCACGCGGGCGGCCUACUGUCGGGUGUGGCCGCGAGGGGCGGCCUAUAUAAGCUCUUGCUCGCGGCUUCAGCGCCCUUUCUCCCCGCCGCAUUCCCGGUGUCGACUUACUAGCUGCAAGCCUCUGCCUGCCUUCCUGCGCGCCGUUCCCCGCUAGUCGCUGCUGCUGGCGCGCACUCGCCGGGUUUUUCCUCCCACGGCCUCGAGAUGGUGGUGAAUGUGGCACGGAGGAGCCGGGCCUUCCAACCCGGUGGGCCCGAGCUCCGAAAGGCCCCCUCGGCAGUGAGAGGGGCGGGAGCCCGCGGGGGCCGCGCCCUUCUCUCGCUUCGGACUGCGCAACGCUGCGCUCUGGGCUGACAGGCGGAUAAAACGGUCCCAUCAAGACUGAGAAAAAGCACACCAGCUAUUGGCACAGCGUGGGCAGUGGGGCCUACAGGAUGACUGACUUAGUCUACAGAGAUCCCGGCGUACUUAAGCAGGUAGUAAUGAUGGACAGAUGAAGACUCUUAAGAUGACAGAAGGUGAUUUUUCUGGUGAUCGAGGACUUCCGGGGUAAUGACAGUGAUGAAAUGCAGGGGACCUGGUAGGUUUCUUUUGGAGACUAACUGGGGGCUGCCUGGUGGGACAGAACAGCAUGUUUCCAAGGGCUGUGGCUGGUCAUAGCCAUGGGAUCUCCAACUGCAUGCAAGAGCAACCUGGAAAGACUUUGACAGCGCAGGUUGCCCCCAAGUUUCCUGGCAGUGUGUGAUACUGAGGAGGUGAGCUUGUUUCUGGAGCUGUGCUUUAAGGUAAAGUUGAUCAGCUUAAUCCUCCUGAUCCCUUUCCCAUCGGAUCUGAACACUGGUCUUGGUGGUCGUAAAAGGAGGAAAAGUAAUAGUGAAGCUGGCCUAAAUGUUGUAAUCUGGUAUAUGGCAUGUGGGCUAGUUUCAGACAGGUUUCAGAGAUGGUUGGAUCUCUGAAAUUGUAAAAUGAAGUAUAAUCUUAGGCUAAGGGAAGGAUGCGUGUGAAGCUCUGGAGGUUGGUAUAGUAAUAGCUGACCUAUUACUGCAUUUGGGAGGGAUCUGUCAUAGCUUCCUUGCCUCUUAAUUAAGGGUGGUGUUUUUUUCUUUUAGAUUCAUGUUACAUGUAAAGCUGUCCUCAUUUGUGACUAUGGACCUAUGGAGUUGGGACAAUCUCUAUGGGAAGCAGAAGGCAAGGACCCCGGUCAUUUUAGGUAGAAACAACAGCAUGCUAAUGCAAAAAAUUAUGCAGUGUGCUACUGAACUUCAGAGGUGAUCAAUAAAAGAAGAAUAAAAAGACUAAUAAAAGUAUAUUUGUGUUUGUAUUUUUUUGUAGAGACCGAACUGGUCUCUU
RNAcentral lists this long non-coding RNA (1493 nucleotides) under Homo sapiens (human). RNAcentral's name for it is "HSALNT0003891". The stretch from base 947 to 1076 matches the Rfam family "Small nucleolar RNA SNORA61". Lineage: Eukaryota; Metazoa; Chordata; Mammalia; Primates; Hominidae. The record is from RNAcentral.